UGUUCUGUGGCUUAGUUGGUUAAAGCGCCGGUCAAGCGAAUAUGGAGUCGCGAGUUCGAAUCUCACCACAACAU
Molecule: non-coding RNA, 74 nt
Organism: Aedes albopictus (Asian tiger mosquito)
Lineage: Eukaryota; Metazoa; Arthropoda; Insecta; Diptera; Culicidae
Source: Rfam